This 3284-nucleotide long non-coding RNA is filed under the name Mus musculus (house mouse). RNAcentral's name for it is "long non-coding RNA chr4:64326154-64329438". The record is from RNAcentral. Lineage: Eukaryota; Metazoa; Chordata; Mammalia; Rodentia; Muridae.
GUAUAACCCUUUCCAUCUUAGUCCUUCAGUAACAGUAACUUUUACCCACUCAAUAUGAUCUUCAACCCUUAUCCUCUGUUUUUAAGGAACAUCGGUUUUUCGUACAGUUGGGGGUAUUCAAUUAGUGGCUAUGAAUUUCUAAAAGGAUAUGGUAUAUCAAGUACUUCAGCGUUUGCUCAAGACUGUGCCAGAAUUACUCCCCCCGCCCCCACAUACACACACCCUUCCUGUAUAUAGUAUUCUCUUGCUUCUUUGCUGUGAUACAAGCUGAACCUAAGGCUUUAUGUAUGUUAGGUAAGCAUCCACUAUCCAGCUAUGUCUUUAGUCCUAUAUCCUGUUUUAUUAUUGAACUAUCUUCUCCUAAUUGUUCACCAUUCUCCUCUGUUCCCUUUAAACUUCUGUUCUUUCUCCUCUUUUCUCCCCACUCCCCUUCUAUCCAUUUCUUCCUCUCCCCUCCUCUUUCUUCUCUUUCUCUUUUCUUUCCUCCUUUCUUUCCCUCCUCUUCUACCCUCUUCUCUUCCCCUCCUCUUCCCCUCCUUUUUUCUUUCUCCUCAUCCUGUUCCUUCUUCUCUUCCAUUUUUUUCUCUUUCUCCUCCUCCAUCUUCUUGUCUCCUUACUCUUGGCAAAACUUUAUCCUUCAUUAGGGAAGUCAAGACCAGAAAAUAUUAAACCUUUCUAGAAAAUGACCUAGAGUCAGCUUUAAAAUUUUUGUACUCCAUAAUAGAGUUCUAAAGAACAUUCACCCACAAUAGAUUUCUAGGUACCUAAAAGGAGAGGAGACCCAUCCACAUAUGAAAUUGUCAUUCUCAGCCUUAUCUUGACACCCCAGGUCAGAUUUUGUAAAUAGGCUCUGAAAGUUGAUAUGUUCACAUGAUUCUUUUUUUAAUUUGUGUUUAUCUGAAAUCCCCUAGGUUAACAGAUUUACAGGUACUUUGUGCAAUGAAGGGCAAUGCACUAGUCAAUUACUUUUCUAUCAACAACAACAGGAGGCCAUAACAAAAUAUUAACACUUGUUUUCUUGUAGACCUUGAUUUUGUCUACAAACUACACUAAUUUGUGUAGUUACCUGAAUUUUAAACUCUUAAUAAAAUAUAUAACUUGGAUUGGUGUAAUAUUUUGGUCCCGAAAUGUGAAAGAAUUCUAACAUGUUUUAUUGAUAUGCAGUAAUUGACUCUUUACUGUAGUAAAAUUAUUAAAUAAUCCUGGCACAGUUUCUACCUGUCCUUAACCAUUUAUGUUCCCCAAUGAAAGCAUACAUACAGCAUUUAUAUUUUUAAUAUGCCUAGGUAACAGAUUAUCUGUGCCACAAGCUGCCCUCUGUGCUGUUACACUCUACCUACUUAUGGCUAACUCCAAGUCAUCACUCCCUAUUUCUAUGUUCCAUCUGUGCUGCUCAGUUGGUCAUCCCACAGGCCACAUUUUCUUCACUCCUACACCAUGGCUGCUCUCUCCCCCUCCCUCCUGCAAUUCUUUUAUUAUUUCAUGGCAAUUUCUUUCUUUUUCCCUACUCCCCUCCUCAUGGUCUCCUGUUUCUAAGCCCUCAAAAAUCUCCUCCACAACUAUGUGUCUUCUCUCUAGCUAUUGGCUAUCUGCAUCUUUAUUUACCAAUCAGAAUUAACUUGGGGGCAGGGUCCUAGGGGCUAUCAGCAGACUCCAGGUUUUGUGGCCCUGCACUUAGCAUUACAACAGACAGUAAAAGACAAAACUUAAACACUUUACAAAUAUUAUUAGUUCAAUUAAAUUUUCAUUUUUAUUUUACUGAAAUUAUCACAGGAUCUGAAAUCUAGUACACAGCAUCUAUUUGUGGAUUUGAACUACUGAAAUAACCACAAAUCAACUCUUCCUCUUGAAUAUUGACAUAGAGUGAGCAAAACAAAUCUGACCAGUGUUUUUUAUUUUUAUUAGUACUGAAGGGAACUGGGAUGUAGGAAAGACAAGAAGAAAUAUGAAGCAGCUAAGACACAUUGGAAUGAAUGGUCGUACAUCUUUGUGAUCUGUUACCUGCAUUUACAUAAUCCCAUGAACAUACAACAUGCCCAUAGCAAAAUAAGCAGAAUUUGAUGAUCUCAGAUCUUGGAGAAGUUAAUACUGUUAUCAGCAGUGAACAAUGAAAGCUACCAUUGCAAAAGAAUCCAGGGAAGGUUGCUUAUGAUAACAAGUAAAGAUGAAAAAGGCCGAGAAGAAUUUUCUACUGUUUUAGUGAUAGGCAUUUGGAAAAAUCUCUUACAGAGGAAUAGGGCAUUAUUCUCCAAGAUGUCCUAAGUUGUAUUGCCAGAGGAUGGUGGCCUCAUCACUAUCAAGCUAGGUCAAGAUAUGUAUCUUAAACGGAUGCAUUUAACUGAAGCCCUUCUGGGUCAGGGCAAAGCUUUUCAGGCCUUUAUCCUGCCUCUUGGUACACUUUUUCCUCUAUAACUGCAGUAUAUCAUUAAGGUUCCAUCAUGAGACAGCAUAACAUAGAAUGUGACUUUGUGUGCAAAUGAUUCAUCUCCAAUUUGAGCUACCAUGUUUUUGAGAUUGCAUAGUUAAGCAAAGAAUUGGAAUUUAUGUUAGUUGGCAAGUUGUUAAAAAUUGUUGAAGAAAAGAUCCAAUCAUAGCUUAUAGCCCACCAAGGCUAAACUUUCUCUAGAAACAACUCCAAAAUGCUGAUUUGGGGGUGGGGUAUCUUUGGUCUACUAAAAUGUCUAUCUGAAAAUUGGGUCUGAAAAUUUGUAAAUUCACAGAGUUUUGCUACUCUUGUGAUUCUUUAAAUAACCAGUCUAUUGGCGUUAUGAGCAGUUCAGUAUAAUGAAGGAAAACAUCCUGAAUAAGGUGUGGGUUGUGCUGUGUCUGUCUGAGGAGUGUCAGCACAAGACCCUAGAGGACUUUCCAAGUGAUAUGAAUGUAAGACAUUUGCUCAGAUUUCUAUCUUCUCAAAUUAGCUAAAUUCAUGGCCUAAGAAAGACAGAUGAGUUAGACUAAAAUGUUCAUUUAAUUAAAAAUUCAGAGUCUAUAAAUAUGGCUGAGGAGUUAAGAGUGCUUUCUUCUCUUUCAAAGGACCAGAGAUUAGUCCCCCAAACCCAUUUCCCCAUUUCCAGCAACUCACAACUAUUUCUAACUCCCAGGAUUUAGACACAAGCUUCUGGGUUCUGUGGGUGCCCACACAUGUGGCACACACACCAAAAAUAAAAACUAAAAUAAUUAUUAAAAAGUAACCUUUAAGAAUGGCCCUCAGUCAAGGGAAGGGGCCACCCACCCAUCUCAAAGUUUUUAACCCAGAAAUGUUCCUGUCCAAAGCAAGAACAGGG